This is a long non-coding RNA of Lemur catta (Ring-tailed lemur), 1089 nucleotides long. RefSeq lists it as uncharacterized. The transcript has 5 exons. NCBI's taxonomy places the organism in Eukaryota, Metazoa, Chordata, Mammalia, Primates, Lemuridae. The record is from RefSeq and is a predicted model, not a curated record.
CGUACAGGGACCUGCACUGAAAGUGUUCUCAGGAAACGUAGGCGGAUGUUGGUGGCUUUGGUGAAGUUGCGCAGCAGUGGCGAAGUAGGAGUAGUUCAUGGCCCCUGGGCGCCCAUUCACCAGGAACACCACGAUCUGCAGAAGGUGUGGACGGUGAGGCCAGGUGUGGCCGCCAGGAGCAGACCUGCAGAACCCACCACCACGCUGUCCUCGGACUCACCUCGCCGUUCUCCAGGGACACUAUGCACCUCACUUGACUGCUGGUAACUGAAACUAAGUAUAGGUGCACGUGCCCACUGAUGACGAGAGCAAGACGUCUUAGCCGAAACGUCUUCCUUCCAAACUCCUGGGAGAAAAGACAAGAGGGAAAAUAUGUGAGCAUUAUAAAAGUAUGCCUAUCGCUGAUACUUUCUUAAACCACAGGUGUGCGGGAUCUCCUCCCGUUAGAUGUCAGAUGCAGACUGACUGACUGAUAGACAACCUACUUGGAACGCAAAUUUGCGGUGCUCUUGCCAAAUUGGCAAGGGCUGGUCCUGUUCUUGUCGAGGUGCUGUUUGCCUGUGCACAGAACGGGAGUGCAGCACCUGUCUGCAAUUCCUCCUGACGAUGGAUUAAAAAGAUGCUAGAACCAGGUGGCCGGUUUUGAGGCCGCAGAACCAGCGGCGCUCGGACCGCGGAGCUGGCUGCCCCUCGGCGCGCGUGCGGACGGAGGGCGCCUGCGGCUGCGCGGGAACACGCUGAAGCGCUGCGGGCAGCGCGCGGGAGCCGGGACGGAGCGGAGCUAAAGAAGUAAACAGCUCAUGGCACGUUUAACAAAAAGAUGACAGGCGGAUACAAAAGCUAUCCAGCAUCUUUGGGCAGCCAUUGAGAUUACACGGAACCAGAAGCAAAUUGCCAACAUUGACCGUAUUACCAAAUUUCCAAUCAAGAUGUAAAGGGUGAAGAAUCAAAGAACAAAGAAUCAGUAACAAGUGAAAUUUAAGCCUUCAGUCAUGCAGAUUCCUAAUAUGAUUCAUAACUCAUUGUCAUGUUAUUUCUCUAAAUGCCAUGUAUAGUUUAAUGUCCAAUAAAAUCAAGUUACAUAUAUCA